This 90-nucleotide transfer RNA is filed under the name Kordiimonadaceae bacterium. RNAcentral's name for it is "tRNA-Ser". It matches the Rfam family "tRNA". Rfam says of the family: Transfer RNA (tRNA) molecules are approximately 80 nucleotides in length. Their secondary structure includes four short double-helical elements and three loops (D, anti-codon, and T loops). The record is from RNAcentral. RNAcentral also lists the same sequence under 1 other name. Lineage: Bacteria; Pseudomonadati; Pseudomonadota; Alphaproteobacteria; Kordiimonadales; Kordiimonadaceae.
GGAGAGGUGGCUGAGUGGUCGAAAGCGCUCCCCUGCUAAGGGAGUGUGCCUUCACGGGUACCGAGGGUUCGAAUCCCUUCCUCUCCGCCA